UGGGCGUUUAUCGGAUUAUUGGGCGUAAGAGCUCGUAGGCGGCUUGUCACGACGGAUUGUGAAAUCCCGGGGCUUAACCCCGGGUCUGCAUUCGAUACUGGCAAGCUAGAGUUCGGUAGGGGAGAUCGGAAUUCCUGGUGUAGCGGUGAAAUGCGCAGAUAUCUGGAGGAACACCGGUGGCGAAGGCGGAUCUCUGGGCCGAUACUGACGCUCAGGAGCGAAAGCGUGGGGAGCGAACAGGAUUAGAUACCCUGGUAGUCCACGCCUUAAACGGUGGGCACUAUGUGUGGGCAUUCUUCCACGUUGUCCGUGCCGCAACUCACGCAUUAUGUGCCCCGGCUGGGGAGUACGGCCGCAUGGCUAAUACUCAGAGGAAUUGACGGGGGCCCGCACAAGCGGAGGAUGAGGAGGCUUACUUCGACGCACCGCGAAGAAUCUUACCACGGCUUGAGAUACGCCGGAGAACCCUGGACACAGGGUCCCCCUUGUGGUCGGUGUACAGGUGGUGCAUGGCUGUCGUCCGCUCGUGUCGUGAGAUGUUGGGUUAAGUCCCGCAACGAGCGCAACCCUUGUCCCGUGUUGCCAGCAGGCCCUUGUGGUGCUGGGGACGCACGGGACACCGCCGGGGUCAGCUCGGAUGACGGUGGGGACUACUUCCAGUCAUCAUGCCCCUUAUGUCUUGGGCUGCACGCGUGCUACAAUGGGCUGUACAAUGAGCUGCGAUACCUCGACGUGGAGCGAAUCUCAUAAAGCCGGUCUCAGUUCGGAUUGCGGUCUGCUACUCGACCCCAUGAAGUCAGACUCGCUAGUAAUCGCAGAGCAGCAUUGCUGCCCUGAAUACGUUCCCGGGCCUUGUACACACCGGCCGUCACGUCACGAAAGUCGGUAACACCCGAAGCCGGUGGACCAACCCCUUGUGGGAAGGAGCUGUCAAAGGUGGGACUGGCGAUUGGGACGAACUCUUAACAAGGUACCUG
RNAcentral lists this ribosomal RNA (977 nucleotides) under Streptomyces olivoverticillatus. RNAcentral describes it as "bacterial SSU rRNA". It matches the Rfam family "Bacterial small subunit ribosomal RNA", at positions 535 to 1502 of the family's 1533-position model. The record is from RNAcentral. Lineage: Bacteria; Bacillati; Actinomycetota; Actinomycetes; Kitasatosporales; Streptomycetaceae.